RNAcentral lists this ribosomal RNA (301 nucleotides) under uncultured bacterium. RNAcentral describes it as "bacterial SSU rRNA". It matches the Rfam family "Bacterial small subunit ribosomal RNA", at positions 505 to 805 of the family's 1533-position model. The record is from RNAcentral.
GUGCCAGCCGCCGCGGUAAUACGUAGGGUGCAAGCGUUAAUCGGAAUUACUGGGCGUAAUGCGUGCGCAGGCGGUUUUGUAAGACAGGCGUGAAAUCCCCGGGCUCAACCUGGGAAUGGCAUUGGAGACUGGAUGACUAGAGUGCGGUAGAGGGUGGUGGAAUUCCCGGUGUAGCGGUGAAAUGCGUAGAGAUCGGGAGGAACAUCUGUGGCGAAGGCGGCCACCUGGACCAGCACUGACGCUCAGGCACGAAAGCGUGGGGAGCAAACAGGAUUAGAUACCCUGGUAGUCCACGCCCUAA